Molecule: unclassified non-coding RNA, 253 nt
Filed under: uncultured delta proteobacterium
Lineage: Bacteria; Deltaproteobacteria
Description: contains 16S-23S intergenic spacer region
Rfam family: Bacterial small subunit ribosomal RNA
Source: RNAcentral
UACGGAGGGUGCAAGCGUUAAUCGGAUUUACUGGGCGUAAAGCGCGAGUAGGCGGUCUUUUAAGUCGCGUGUGAAAGCCCCCGGCUCAACCGGGGAAGUGCGCGCGAAACUGGAAGGCUUGAGUCUCGGAGAGGGUCGCGGAAUUCCCGGUGUAGAGGUGAAAUUCGUAGAUAUCGGGAGGAACACCAGAGGCGAAGGCGGCGACCUGGACGAAGACUGACGCUGAGAAGCGAAAGCGUGGGGAGCGAACAGG